AUGAACGCUGGCGGCGUGCCUAAUACAUGCAAGUCGAGCGAACGGACGAGAAGCUUGCUUCUCUGAUGUUAGCGGCGGACGGGUGAGUAACACGUGGAUAACCUACCUAUAAGACUGGGAUAACUUCGGGAAACCGGAGCUAAUACCGGAUAAUAUUUUGAACCGCAUGGUUCAAAAGUGAAAGACGGUCUUGCUGUCACUUAUAGAUGGAUCCGCGCUGCAUUAGCUAGUUGGUAAGGUAACGGCUUACCAAGGCAACGAUGCAUAGCCGACCUGAGAGGGUGAUUGGCCACACUGGAACUGAGACACGGUCCAGACUCCUACGGGAGGCAGCAGUAGGGAAUCUUCCGCAAUGGGCGAAAGCCUGACGGAGCAACGCCGCGUGAGUGAUGAAGGUCUUCGGAUCGUAAAACUCUGUUAUUAGGGAAGAACAUAUGUGUAAGUAACUGUGCACAUCUUGACGGUACCUAAUCAGAAAGCCACGGCUAACUACGUG
RNAcentral lists this ribosomal RNA (496 nucleotides) under uncultured bacterium. RNAcentral's name for it is "partial 16S ribosomal RNA". It matches the Rfam family "Bacterial small subunit ribosomal RNA", at positions 29 to 507 of the family's 1533-position model. The record is from RNAcentral.